GGACCCGCACAAGUAGUGGAGCAUGUGGUUUAAUUCGAAGAUACGCGCAGAACCUUACCAACACUUGACAUGUUCGUCGCGACUCUAAGAGAUUAGAGUUUUCGGUUCGGCCGGACGAAACACAGGUGCUGCAUGGCUGUCGUCAGCUCGUGUCGUGAGAUGUUGGGUUAAGUCCCGCAACGAGCGCAACCCUCACUUUUAGUUGCCAUCAUUAAGUUGGGCACUCUGAAAGAACUGCCAGUGAUAAGCUGGAGGAAGGUGGGGAUGACGUCAAGUCCUCAUGGCCCUUACGUGUUGGGCUACACACGUGCUACAAUGGUAUCUACAAAAGGCAGCUAAAAAGAAAUUUGGAG
RNAcentral lists this ribosomal RNA (353 nucleotides) under uncultured bacterium. RNAcentral's name for it is "bacterial SSU rRNA". It matches the Rfam family "Bacterial small subunit ribosomal RNA", at positions 917 to 1267 of the family's 1533-position model. The record is from RNAcentral.